ACGAACGCUGGCGGCGUGCUUAACACAUGCAAGUCGAACGGUGAAGCGCCUUCCUUUUUGGUGGGUGUGGAUGAGUGGCGAACGGGUGAGUAACACGUGAGUAACCUGCCUCCUUCUUCUGGAUAACCGCAUGAAAGUGUGGCUAAUACGGGAUAUUCUGGGUCUGUCGCAUGAUGGGUCUGGGAAAGAUAUUGUUUCGGUGGGGGAUGGGCUCGCGGCCUAUCAGCUUGUUGGUGGGGUGAUGGCCUACCAAGGCGGUGACGGGUAGCCGGCCUGAGAGGGUGGACGGUCACACUGGGACUGAGACACGGCCCAGACUCCUACGGGAGGCAGCAGUGGGGAAUAUUGCACAAUGGGCGCAAGCCUGAUGCAGCGACGCCGCGUGAGGGAUGGAGGCCUUCGGGUUGUGAACCUCUUUCGCCAGUGAAGCAGGCCUGCCUCGUUUGUGGGUGGGUUGACGGUAGCUGGAUAAGAAGCGCCGGCUAACUACGUG
RNAcentral lists this ribosomal RNA (493 nucleotides) under uncultured bacterium. Its description in RNAcentral is "partial 16S ribosomal RNA". It matches the Rfam family "Bacterial small subunit ribosomal RNA", at positions 29 to 507 of the family's 1533-position model. The record is from RNAcentral.